GAGAGAGUAAACAGUGCGUGAAACCGCUCAGAGGUAAACAGGUGGAGUUGAACUGCAAGCUCUGAGAAUUCAGCUGAUGAGUGUGGCUUGAGCUUGGUCAAAUUGGUUGGACUUCGGGGUCUGCGUAGUAGCAGGUCUUUGCCUUCGGGUAGAGAUGCGCGUUGCACUUAUCAAGUGCUGUGCGCCCUGUUUGUUCUUCGGCCUGCUUGUCAGUGCACUUUCUCAGAGUAGUCACCACGACCGGCACUGCCGUCAGGCUGCUUUGGUUAAACCGUUCUCGUAUCGCCUUCGUGGCUUUACUUGAUCGGGAUGGCAGGUAGCUCGUUGACUUGUUUGUGGCUUGCUGCAAACGUCCGGUCUUCGAGUGUAAUCAGCUGACCCUAGUAGUUCUGUGCGGUGUGUCGGAGACGGCGGCUUGUGGUGUGUGCAUGCGUGCCUAUCCUGCGGACCUGUCCGAGUUUGGUUGUCAUGUUGCCUGUUCAAGCAGGCCUGAUGAUGGCUCGGGUUUGUUCUGUGGGUGGUUGCGUGUGUGACACUAAACCAAGGGCCAACAGUCUGUGGUGUAGUGGUAGACGAUCCACCUGACCC
Molecule: ribosomal RNA, 588 nt
Filed under: Plagiorchis sp. XIDR2
Lineage: Eukaryota; Metazoa; Platyhelminthes; Trematoda; Plagiorchiida; Plagiorchiidae
Also listed under: 1 other name
Description: partial large subunit ribosomal RNA
Source: RNAcentral